This is a non-coding RNA of Mycena rosella, 74 nucleotides long. NCBI's taxonomy places the organism in Eukaryota, Fungi, Basidiomycota, Agaricomycetes, Agaricales, Mycenaceae. The record is from the annotation of a GenBank genome assembly.
GCUUGUGUAGAUCAGCGGUAGAUCGCUAUAUUCAACUUGCAGAGGAGGCGUGGGUUCGACUCCCACCGCAGGCA